Molecule: ribosomal RNA, 1030 nt
Filed under: Asterodiscus mangrovei
Lineage: Eukaryota; Fungi; Ascomycota; Dothideomycetes; Stigmatodiscales; Stigmatodiscaceae
Description: SSU rRNA
Rfam family: Eukaryotic small subunit ribosomal RNA
Source: RNAcentral
AUUAUACCGUGAAACUGCGAAUGGCUCAUUAAAUCAGUUAUCGUAUAUUUGAUAGUACCGUCACGUACUUGGAUACCAGUGGUAAUUCUAGAGCUAAUACGUGCUACAAUCCCCGACUCUGAAGGGGUGCGUAUAUCAAUCAAAAAACCAUCGCCCUCUGGGUUGUUUGGUGAAUCAUGGUAUCCGAGCGAAUCGCAUGGCCUUGAGCCUGCGAUGGUUCAUUCAAAUUUCUGCCCUAUCAACUUUCGAUGGUAAGGUCUUGGCCUACCAUGGUAUCAACGGGUAACGGGGAAUUAGGGUUCGAUUCCGGAGAGGGAGCCUGAAAAACGGCUACCACAUCCAAGGAAGGCAGCAGGCGCGCAAAUUACCCAAUCCCAACACGGGGAGGUAGUGACAAUAAAUACUGAUACAGGGCUCUUUCGGGUCUUGUAAUUGGAAUGAGUGCAACUCAAAUCCCUCAACGAGGAACAAUUGGAGGGCAAGUCUGGUGCCAGCAGCCGCGGUAAUUCCAGCUCCAAUAGCGUAUAUUAAAGUUGUUGCAGUUAAAAAGCUCGUAGUUGAAUCUUGGGCCCGGCCGGCCGGUCCGCCUAACCGCGUGCACUGGUGCGGCCGGGCCCUUCCCUCUGGAGAACCGCAUGCCCUUCGCUGGGCGUGUCGGGGAACCAGGACUUUUACUUUGAAAAAAUUAGAGUGUUCAAAGCAGGCCUAUGCCCAGAUACAUUAGCAUGGAAUAAUGAAAUAGGACGUCGCGGUCCUAUUUUGUUGGUUUCUAGAACCGCCGUAAUGAUUAAUAGGGACAGUCGGGGGCGUCCGUAUUCAGCCGCGAGAGGUGAAAUUCUUAGACCGGCUGAAGACGAUCUACUGCGAAAGCAUUCGCCAAGGAUGUUUUCAUUAAUCAGUGAACGAAAGUUGGGGGAUCGAAGACGAUCAGAUACCGUCGUAGUUUCAACCGUAAACUAUGCCGACUAGGGAUCGGGCGGCGCUCAACUGUUGACCCGCCCGGCACCUUACGAGAAAUCAAAGUCUUGGG